UGUUUUAUUUUUGAAUGAUUGUCAAUCUGGAUUCUGAAACUAAGUUGCAGUCAUGCAUCGAGAAACAGCCAAUAUUAUUGAAUGAACAAUGUCCAUCUUGCAAACGUGUAUAAAAUAUUUUCAAAGGUGCUUGAUAUUGUUUGUUUAUUAGCUAUUUGCAUUUUUGUGCAGUUGAAAGUUAUUAUUUGUUGCGAAUUGUUCGUGAGUAAACAAGUAAAGGCCUGCUGUGUACUAGGAUGCACGAAUAAGCAAGCGAUAAGGUGAGAGUAAUAUUUACUAUUUAUCAACAUAAAAAUAUUUAAAAUGAAAUUAAGUUCAUAUCUAUACGAGAAUAACUCUUUUCUUCCUAACUUCAUUAAUUUCUAUUUAGGAAAUCAUUUUGUUGAAUGGUUAAAUAUGUUGAAAGGUUUUAUCCUUAUUUUACAUUUCUAUGAAUGAAGACGUUUGCAGAAUUUGGUUGCAAAGAAUAAAUAGCCCCAAGUUAAUGCGUGUAGAUACAGUAUUAUCAUCACAUAGAAUAUGUGGUAUUCAUUUUAAACCAAUUUUGAACUCCAAUGGCAGGUUAAAAAACUUUUACUGCCAACUCUACAUUUACCUGGUAAGUACUUAUAUUUACUGUGACAAAAACCUCUUAUAAAUCCUGGUGAAAAGUUAUGCAGAAGAAAAGAAAUGCCAUUUCUGUCAGUACGUUACGAAAAAGGUAAAAAUGAUAUUUUUUGAGUACAGGAGCAACCAUCUUCAUUUUCAACUCCAAAAAAGUUUGAUAGGUAGGUAUGAAUUGUUGUAUAUAAUUAAUAUAAUUUCCACAAAAAUCUGCAUGUUAAUUCUUCUAGUCAUGUAAUCAAGAUGCUGAAUUGUUUGAAUCAUUGUACAUUUUGGGUAUUGGCAUGACUCAACCUUUUAUGGCAGUUAUAAGCAGGUAGUUAUUUGAAAACAAAGAGAAAUGGAUUGAUGUGUUUAACAUCUGGGAAACAGGCUUCAUGUUUUUAUUUCAUAUUAAUAACCAAAAGGUUUAUUCAAUAAUAAUUUAGGUGAAAGAUAAAUGUCAUUGUAUAUUUUCUAUAAUGUAGUUGUCCAAUUGUUUAUUUUUGCUUAAUGAUUUCCUUUUUCUAUUGAGAUUAAUUGAGACAUUUUUUAGAAUCAAUAGAGGGAACAAAAAACACAAAGAAGUGAUUAUUUCAAGCCCUUCUAAGUAUGAAUUCAAAAUGGCAAUAUUUUUAUAUAUAAUUGUAAUAGUUGUAGUCACAACUAUUGACAUGGUCCAUAUAAUAAAUUUGAAUUGAACCUGAAGUCAUGAAUUUAUAUAAUUUGUAGGUAGCUCCUCGAGAAUCCUAUAGGAACCAUCAAUAUCAACUAAUAUGGAAACAGAUAAACUUGAAGGGCACUCAACUGUGACAGUGAUGGUGCUUCUUCUCAGUAUAAGAACCGUAAAAACUUUUCAAACUUAUGCUGUCACAAAGAAGAUUUUAAAGGAGUUGAAGCAGAAUGGCAUUUUUAUGCUACAUCUAGUGAUGUGGGGAGGUAAAUUUUCGACUAUGUUUUUCCGGAAAAUUUUCAAUGUCAAAAAAGCAAUUUUUUAGAAAUUUUUCCAUUCUUUUAUUAGUUUUCUUUUAUUUGUCAAUUUCUGUACCAUUUAAACAAAAACUAUAGGUUAUAAUUCUAACUUUGUAAUCCACAUGAAUUGAAUAUUUGAUUCUGUUUUACUUAAAAUUUGUCCCAUUGUUUAAUUUAAGUCACCAUAUUUCAUAUCAUAACAAAAUAGCACUGGAAAUGAAUCACCAAUUUCUUUUGUUAUUUGAUAAAAUAAAGUAAUUAGGUAGUGGCAAAAGCCAGAAGAUGGCACCACUGCUAUAAAGAGAAUUGUGUAGUGGGACUAAAGCAAAAUUAAUCCUGCUCUCUGUGAAGAAAAAUGGGUAACCAGAGAAAAACAAGUGUGUGGAAACAUUUGGAUGAAGUCCAUGAAGAAAACAAAAUUAUUGGUAAAUGUAAAUAUUGUGAUCAAAGAUAUGCAAAUAAUGCCACAAGGAUGAAAAAACAUUUAUGUGCAUGUAAAAAAUGUCCAGAAAGAAUAAAAUGCAUUUUGCAAAAGUUGGUGCAACAUAAGACAGGAGAAACUUCUUGUGGAAGAAAUGUGCUUCAGAUAUCACAUGUGCAGGAAACUGAAUGCCCCCUGCCAAGGGAUCUCAGUGAACAACAAGCAACUUCAAGCAGCUAUUCAAAUUUAAAGAAUAUCUUAUCAAGAUUUGUUGACAAAAUAUCAACAAAAGACAAAGAAAAAGCAGGCGAGACAUUGGCACGUACUAUAUUUGCAAGUGGAACCCCACUUUCAAUUACUGAAAAUAAAUAUUGGGUGGAACACUACAAACGUAUUCGUCCAUCAUACAAAUUACCAUCAUGUUAUUGCUGAAGCGGAAUGAUUGACACUGCUCUCGGAUGGAUGGACUGACAUACAAGGAAAUCCUUUGAUGAACAUAAUGUUUGCAACACCUCAGCCAAUAUUCUUAAACGCAGUGAAUACAAAAUCUUCUCGUCAUACUGGAGAAUACAUAGCAGAAAUUUUGAGAACAGAGAUCGAAAGAGUAGGGCAUUCCAAAGUAAUAGCUCUUGUAUCUGACAAUGCAAGCAACAUGAAAUUAGCUUGGCAUAAGUUACAGGAACAAUAUCCUCACUUGAUUAUAUUUGGUUGCCUUGCUCAUGGAUUAAACCUUUUGGCAAAAGAUAUAAUAAGUUUGAAUUCAAUUUGAACAAUAUUGUCAAAAUGCAAGGCAAUUGUCAAAUUGUUUAAGAAUCACCACAUUGAAAAUCAAACAUUGAAGUUACAGUUAUAUUUAAAAAAAUCGAUGCCAAAAUAAAUGAGCAAUUGCCUUUUUCACCCCUGACCAAACAAGAAGACAAGUUCGUUAAAUCAUUUUUAACUGACAGAGACAAUUUCUGUUUUCAGCCAGUGCACUUAGCUGCAAAUCUUUUGGAUCCACGAUAUUGUGGACAAAAUUUGUCAAAAGAUGAUUUAAUGCCAGCUAUUGAAGCCAUAAUUGAAGUUGCUAAAAACACUCCUGGUAUCAAUGAAGUUACAGUAAUGACAGAUAUAGCAGAAUACAAAGCAAAACAAAAGCUCUGGAGUAAAGACAUUAUUUGGAAAGCUGCCUGUAAAAUAUCUCCAACAACUUGGUGGAAAGGUUAUUGCAGUACAAGAGAACUAUCUAGGGUUGCAGUCAGAAUUUUGAAUAUUCCCCCAACUGCCGCUUCAUGUGAACGCAACUGGAAGGCAUUUAGCAACAUUAAAACAAAAAAGAGAAAUAGAUUGACAGAUGAACGCACUGCGAAACUAGUAUCGGUUUCACAAAAUCUUCAUUUGUUAAGCGAUGACAAUGUCAUGUUUUUAAAUUCUAAUUAUGAUCAUGAUCUGUUAAACGAAAAUAUGGAUGCAGAUUUUUCACCUAGUUGUAGUAGCGAUUCUGAUUUAAGUCACUUUGUGCUUUCCAAUUCUGAGAGUGCCCUAGAAAGUUAGGACAUCAACAUCAUAGAAUAUUGGUGCUUUAACAGUUAGAAAAAUGUUUGCAGAAAAAAUUUGAUCAUAAUCAUAUUAUGUUUGAUACAGCUAAAGAAAUGACAGUUACGUCUCAGAUUUUGUUAAAAAAGCAUGGAAAACUUUAUAAAUAGUUGGUGAAUAUACUUUUAAUUUCUUAAUAAAAAAAUCUUUUGAACAAAAUUAACCUCAGUUUAAUCUUAAUAACUGUCAAUUCAUUUUGAUAACUUCAUAUUUAUGGUAAUAUUUUUAGAUGUAUAGUACUUUUAUUAAAAUUCAAAUAUGGCAAGAUAUCACAUUAUCAGUGAAUUUAUGAUACAGUGCUAUAAAGAAAUAUUUAUUUCAAUAUGAACCCAUUGUCAUCCCAUCUUCAAACUUGGUACAUAUGUUCUCAAGAGGUGUAUAAAUACAAUAUAUUUUUUUUCCAAAAAAAUGAAAAAUUUCAAUUUUGAGAUUUUGAAAUUUUUUUGAAAAAAAAGAUUUUGAAAUUUUUUAUGUUCUAUUAUAUAGCCAAGUUAUAUAUCAUGUUAAAGGUUAUAUAAAUCUCAAUAGAACGACACUGAUUUCAGCUCUCUAUGUUGAAUAGUUUUCAAGAUAGAGCAAUUUAAAUGUUUCAAAACAAUGCAAAAAUUAUGUAAUUUAAAAAAAAAUUAAGAUCAAUAUCUCUCAAACCGCUUGCUCAAAAAAUUCAAAAUUUUGGAUUUUUCAUCCU
RNA transcript from Diorhabda sublineata, 4238 nucleotides. RefSeq lists it as uncharacterized. The record is from RefSeq and is a predicted model, not a curated record. NCBI's taxonomy places the organism in Eukaryota, Metazoa, Arthropoda, Insecta, Coleoptera, Chrysomelidae. The transcript has 3 exons.